AAGUCGUAACAAGGUUUCCGUAGGUGAACCUGCGGAAGGAUCAUUAUUGUAUUCUAAAUCUGGCAUUUCGGUGCCUGCCAUUUACUUCAAACAUUUAAGUCUGAAUCUUUUGUUGUUCGUUUGAACUCCAAUAUGAAUUUUAUUAAACAA
Molecule: unclassified non-coding RNA, 150 nt
Filed under: plant metagenome
Description: partial contains small subunit ribosomal RNA and internal transcribed spacer 1
Rfam family: Eukaryotic small subunit ribosomal RNA (bases 1-46)
Source: RNAcentral